Long non-coding RNA from Gasterosteus aculeatus aculeatus (three-spined stickleback), 835 nucleotides. The record is from Ensembl. NCBI's taxonomy places the organism in Eukaryota, Metazoa, Chordata, Actinopteri, Perciformes, Gasterosteidae.
UUUUUAUUAAAAUUUAUUUUCAUUGUUAAAAUAAUAAACAGACGACAUAUUUAACAAUUAUAAUAACACAAUCAUUGGGAAAACAUCUGAAGCAGUUCCUGAGAAGAGAGAAAAGAAGAAAAGUUAUUUACAUAUUAAUGUUGUUAGUGUGUCUGUGUGUACAUCUAAUUGUUAGUGUGUCUUUGUGUACAUCUAAAUAUUAGUGUGUGUCUUUGUGUACAUCUAAAUAUUAGUGUGUGUCUUUUUGUACAUCUAAAUGUUAGUGUGUCUUUGUUUAGAACCAAAUGUUAGUGUGUCUGUGUGUACAUCUAAUUGUUAGUGUGUCCCGAUGACGUAGCGUCCCGAUGACGUGGCGUCCUGAUGGCGUCCUGUUGGUCUGCAGACAAGGAGAAGAGACAUCUGGAUUUGCUCCUGAGGGGUUGACGAGGUGUCCUGAUGGCGUCCCGUUGACGUGGCGUCCUGAUGGCGUCCCGUUGACGUGGCGUCCUGAUGGCGUCCUGAUGGCGUCCCGUUGGUCUGCAGACAAGGAGAAGAGACGUGAGGAGGAUCAUCAGGAUGUGAGACAAGAUUCAUAGAUCCAAUUAUUUUAAUUUGAUGCACAUUUUAAUUAUUUCAUGUUUGUAUGGAUGUGUAAAUCUACAUUAUAUAUUUGUGGUUGUUAAACUGUAUUUCUGUAUUUGCUUUUUAUGUUUAGCUAGUCUCUGUGCAUACCAAUAUGUUAGGCGUCUCUGUGUAAGUACUUUUUACAUUACAUUACAUUUCAUUUAGCUGACGCUUUUAUCCAAAGCGACUUACAAUAAGUGCAUUCCACCCAUAGAGUACAAACUCAGAAGUG